UUAACAUGAAUUUCACCAUCAUAGUUGCUGCUCAUGCAUGUAAUAACCACAAGAAAAUUGCACGCAGAUAGAUAAUUUAGUUCUCUGUAAAUUGCAAAAGUGUGGUCUGAAGCCAAGAUUGACUUGGGGCCAUUUCAAUUGGGGCCAUUUCCAGCUUCCUCAAGUAUACAGAAUCAUCAGCAGUGUAUAUGGCCAGACUCAAUGCGUUCUACGAAGGUUCUUGUGGACCCUGUCGUCUCUGUAUGGAAACAGUAAAGAAAUAUACACACGUCCAAAAGUUGAGUGAGAAUGAAUAUUCAUUACUGUUAAAAGUGGAAAGUGUGUCUAUAGACAAAAGUGCUUGUAUUUGUUACAGUUGCUCAAAGCAAAUAAAACGUAGCAUAAGUAAUAAUCCCAACUUUCAACCGAGAUGGAAACCAAAAAUUGUCACAAGGAGACGUUGAAAUGUAGUAUACAUAUUUGCAACGAAAAACUUUGUAAAACCACAAAACUUGCCUCAGUUGAAGAGAUUGAGGAAGUGCUGCAACAAAAAGUAGCAUGUUUUACAGUUGAGGAUGACCAGGUGGAUCACUACAACACAUUGUACACUCACUACCUUGCAUCCUCCUCAUAGACUACCAUGCGAGUCCUGUAAAAUUAAACCACAUAAAGGACAACACUUUAACAGACACUGUACGUCACCAGAUGUAGUGAACGCCUACUUGAGGGAAGUCAUCAAUUACCCCUCUGACUUAUCUAGAGAAAGCAUACUUUGCCUUUCAUGUUAUAUGCAUUUCAGCAUAAUAACAAGAGGGAAGGGACACACAAAUACAUGUACUCAAGUGGUUUGAACCGAGAAGCAGAAUGCGAGACUCGCAAAGAGAUUGACACAGUGUUACUUCAUUUGCAGUCUAAAGCAAAUAAAAUUAUCCCAAACAAAGAAAUGUCAGAGAAGGACAUUUUUGAGCUUGUCAUGCAUAAAUUGGGAAUCUGACUGGGAGAAUGCAUAAAAUGUGGUGAAGCUAUGGUUUUACCAGAGCUGUACAGGGAAUAUAUACGUACUGUGAAAUCUACUUCAUCCCAAACAGGUGCCAAAUUUAUCGAGGAAAAUAUCCCUAGCAGUCGCUGGUUUCUUUCAAACCUACAAGUAUAAUUAUUAUAAGGGUAUGCUUGAGGUACAUUGCCGUCAUCGACGGUAUGGGACAAUUUUGUUUCACAAAAACUGUGACCUUGUUAGUGCAUUAUCAAUAGCACUAGGUAAGCGACAAAGUCCAAAAAUAAAACAGGAACAAGAUGAGAUCAGGAACAAGAUGAGAUACAUGACACUGCACGUGAUUCAGAAUCAACAUCUAUUGAUAAUUCAGUGGUUCCUGUUGCAAAGUACCUUAACGGUAUCCUUCAUGAAAGAGCAAAGACAGUAUGUAUGGAAUAUAAUGGUAUACCUGAAAAAGUCAGCAAUUUCAAAUUGUGUGAACUUAUUGAUAAAACAAACCCCAUCUUACUACAAUUUUUACGAGAAUUAACACAGUCAGCCCGACAGAGCAAACGUAAACUGUUUGAAGACCUCUCGCCUGAAGUGGAUACUAAAACUAUCCGUUUGGUAUUUGCUCUAAGUGUACUACAAUUCUGCACCAACAACAUGCACUUGCAGUGCUCCACUACAUGUUGCUCUCACAGAAUCUAUACUAUGUCAUGGUGGAACUCAAGAGUUAAUUCGUAUUCUAAACAGAUUAGGUGCAGCAGCUUCCCUUGACACAGUCAAUCGCUUAGCCACAAACGUCGUUACAAAACGGAUAGCAGAAGGUGUAUCAGCAGACCUCAAGCCUGGAAUGUAUGCUACAGCAACAGUAGACAAUAUCGACAUUAUACAACCAUUUGCAUUUGUGUCCUGUUUAGAUGCAUCCCGAAGUUGGCAUGGGACAUCUGUUCAAUGUAUUCAACCCCUACCAGAAACAGAGUAUCUAUCACAAGACCUUGUGCCCUCAUCUCAUGCUUCACAAUUAACCACCCGAACUCACAUUCAAACAACAUCCCCAGUAAACACUCCAAUACCACAUGAGAAACAUAAGCGAAGACGUCGUACACUGACAGAGUUUUCACCACAUACCUCAAUAACAGUUGCUCCCAAAAAGAAUUCAACAGUACUCCAAGACAAGGAGGUUUUUCAGUCAAUACACACAGCUGAAUAUGUGCGUUUGCAAACAGAUUCUGAACUGUCAAUAGCACAAUUUAGACCAACAGCAGUUGAAGAAGCUUCACUUAAAGUUUUGCAGGAGGAUUUGUUUAAAUGCAUUACACUACGGAGCUUUUCCCCUCCCCAAAUAUUUCCUAGCUUAGUGUCACUACUAAACUGUGUCAAAAGACAAACCUAUGACAAAGAAGUUUCCAACAUUGAGGUAGUGAGUGAAAAGGCUGACAGUAAACCCACACUGGUAGGUGUCAUUGCACGUUUACACAAGCUAUUCCUAAUUGACCACGGACAGAAGCAUGUGUUCCUAGUUAUGCCUCGAGGCGUAGCCGCACGAGGGAUACGGUAAAGCUGACUGUGUGUGUGUGUGUGUGUCUGUGUGUCUGUGUGUCUGUUCCAGCUGUAACUGCUCAACGGUUGCAAUGCGACGAAAACUAACAGCUUCUAUAGGCUUCUAGCCACGUUCUCUUGGAUUUUGAUUCGUGGAUUUGCAAACUAAAGCUUCUUUCUCGAGUUAUGGCUAGUUUGACUCACAUUGAAGGCUGUUGCAGUCUCUUCAGAAUCUUUCAUAGCAUCAUCUGUCCGCACAAACUUUCUAUUCAACAUAUGAGUUAGCCUUGCACUAAAGCGCUAGCUUUUUGUUAGCUACAAUACUCAGAAAAUAUCUGUUAAAACAGCUACUAGCUAGCAGUAGCCAUUUGUGAAAUUGAUCUCUUUGGACACACCCUUUAAUUAUUCCUGUGUGUGUAAUGCGCAUGCGCGCUCAUUCCCCACGUGUGAGAAAAUAAUAAUAUCCAAGAUCCAGAUCCUCCUGGCAGAAUCAUCUUUGUCUUGAAGGCCUGGUAAGCCACAAAACACUACCAUAUAACAAUAUAGAUAACAAUAUGCAUGUACACAGGUCUUUUCUUCUUAGAUAUUAUAUACACUGAACUACAGAUCUUGGAAGAAUCAAUUUUCUUCUUUCUUGAGGUCCUAGUAAGCCACAUAAUACAACAAUAGAUGCAUGUAAAUAAGUCUUUUCUUCUCAGUGACUUUAUAUAGAUAAGCUAACUUUAAUAUUAAAUUCAUUAUAGAAACUAAUAUAACACUCUAAUACUUUUCAGCGAAAGCAAAAACAUGGCGAGAGGCAUUAGCACAGCGCCAGCUUGAACACUAGUUGGAGAUGCAAAAACAUACGUUAUUUUAAAGGAAAUAAUUAUGCUAUGAAUAUGCAGGCCAGCAGUGGCUAACGCCUUAUCCCGGUGAUUGGCACAUUUUGUUAAACUAUCAAAAAGCUCUCAUGAAACCCUAUGCUGAUGCUGGCCUGGCUAGUUUAGGCAAAGUUUCUGGACACAAGGGGGAAACAUUGACUUCUCUAAUCCAUGCAACAAAUUUCAGAAGAACACAUGAGUUUCUACUACAAGCGUAUGAAGCUAUAUACAGGUACUUUUUGUCACUGUAUACAACUGAGCUUUGCGAAAAUGACAUGAGUGAUACAGACUAUACACAUGAGAUUACGACAAUGAUUACUCAAUUAGCUACUCAAUUCUCACACACGUCAGGUAUUGCAGACCUAGAAGUGUUUAGGGACACGGCUACAAAACUUCUAAAUAGCACCGCAAUGAAAUUGCUGAAGUAUAAAACAUUCAUGGAAAGACUAUCCACAAAGCAUGACACUGUUAAAUUCUGGUAUCAGUUCAUCACCGUCGAUUGUUUUGCUUAUUUGGCCCUUUUUAUAGCUCAAAAAUAUAGGAAUUGGGAGCUAAGAGUUGGAAGCAUAAAACUUUUAUCAGCAGUUUUCACUGCAUUCGAUCACCCAACAUAUCAAGAAGUAAUCCCACAGCAUUUACAGGACUUAUUGAGACUGCCAGAUUCUGUAUUACAGUAUCUGAGAUCGGGUGCUUUUAGUGCCCGUUUAAGUCCAUCAGAAUGGCAUAGCGUUGCUUUAGACGAAUGCCAUGAGAUGAAAAUCAAUAAAGACGCAAAACUGGCAGUUAUACGACCAACUCCACAAAAAAUGGAAUUUCUGUCUAACUAUCUCUCAUAUAGGGCAGUUUGUGUUAGAAAUUUGCAAAAAGAGUUAUUCCCAGAGCAGGAGAAACCAACCGAUGCUCAUGGUCACAUAACAACAAGUAGAGACAAGAAAGGUGAAACAAAUGUUGAUCACAUGAUUGACACCAUUACUAAGAAUGGUAUGGCCAUCCACGAAGAUUUAUGGAAUUUUUUGGAAUGUAAGCAAGCCAGUCUGGAACAAUCUUAUGACCUUCUAAACUUCAGGAAUAUUGGUCAGGAAGCAUACGAAUCAUUUGUAUCUACUAAGUACCUUCACAUGCCAAGUACAUCAGUUAUAAAACGCAAGAAACGACUGAGUACUUUUACUAUAACAGCAACACAAAAAAAGAAAGUAAAGCUGAUUGACCAAGAACGUAAAAUUAGUCAACGUUAUCUGAAAAGGCAACUUGCUUGGAUAGCGGAACAAGGGAUUGACAAUAUUGACAUUGAUAGUUUAUUUGGCCCCAUUUCACAAGUCCCAAGAGCACUUGUAGACGGUAAAGGUUUCCCACAAAAAGCAUAUAAGGCUAGUACAACCGGAUUUUAUGAGAAAAGGUAUGCCAAAUUACCAGUUAUUCUAAACAGCUUCCCUCCCCUGUGGGUACCACAUUCAGUGAUCCUAGAGGGAAUGUUCAUGAUUCAGACAACACCACUACCUACAGUGAGCAACAUGAAUGAUUACGUAAUACUUUUAAUCAAUCAGUUUGUAAAACCUCACAUUAAGGCAGGUGUACAGGAGGUCCACGUACAGGAGGUCCACGUAGUGUUUGACACACCCGGUUCAAUGAAAGAGACACCAAAAGAACUAGAACAAAAGCGAAGAGACGAGAGUGUACAAACUACAAAAGUUGAUCAUAUAUGUGGCCAUAUUGACAAUAAUACAACUGUGCCUACAAACUGGAGAUCAUUUCUCACAUGCAGAAGAUGUAAAAAAGACCUAACAGAAUAUUUAGCAACAGAAAUUUUAAAUGUUGUGCCUAGUAUUCUCUCAGCAGAGCAAGCAGUAUUUUGUAACAUUGGCGUUGAUGCAUACACUACAUCAAACUCGAAAGAAAUACUUCCUUGCCCUUCAUUGUGGACAGACGCAGAUGAGGGGGAUUUAAGAGUAUGGUUACACUGUGUACAUUCAGCCGGCACAAACAAAUUGGUAUUUUCAAGAGAUACAGACGUUUACCACAUAGGUCUGACAGUGCUUCACCUAAUCCCAACUAACCACAUAAUUGUACAGCUCAGUAAAAGUUACAAAAACGGUGGAAAAUUUAUUAAUCUUAAGGCAUUCGCUGAGGCCCUUUCGAAAGACCCUGACCUAAGUGGCAUUACUGAUUUACACAGACCUCAAGUUAUCCAAUCUAUUUAUGUUAGUACUGGCUGUGACUACAUCUCAUUUUUUUCUGGCGUGGGAAAAAUUACUUUUCUGACAACUUUUUUCCAGUAUGCAUCAUUUAUAACAGGCGGACAACCCAUUGGAAGCAUGGGAAUUCUUGAGACCUCCUCAGCACUAUUGUCAUUCUUACGUCUAGUGGGUUGUGCAUAUUUUAAGAAACACACAUCGGCAUUCGAACACCCUACCUACACCAAUUGCUCUGUACCAAUCAUCUGUACCAAUCAAUUGGUAUUGUUAACCCACUUAAACACCAUGAAGAAUGGUUACAAGUAAUCAGCUAAGGGCAGAUACAGAAAGCCAUAAUUUACCAUCUACCGAAGCUCUGGCGCUACACUGGAAGAGAUGCUUAUGGGUACUUCAAAUGUGGAACAGUGCAACACAAAAUGACAUGGACCUUCCAGCUCUCUCUCACUACACAUGGAUGGAAGCGAUAAAAUGGAGAACUGGGGAUUCAAUGGGAUUCUCCAGAAAACCUGACAAAGUCAAAGGAAAGAGUGGAAUAUGUAUUAUCAGGGUGCAAGUGCAAGACUGGUUGCACAAACAAAUGAUGCAAAUGUUUCAAACAGGAAAGAAGGUGUGGGCCUGGCUGUAAGUGUGUAAACUGUAUGAAUACACAGAGUAAUCACCUAUUUGAAGAGGAUGAUGUACACGAUCUUGUAUUAUCAGAGCAGUGCCAUUAUAAUUCUGAAGAUGACUAUGUUGAGACAGACUGUGAGGAAGAUGAAGAAACAAACGAAAUCAUAAACGAAGUGUUUGGACCAGACAAUGAUACUGAAGAUGUGUUUGUAUAGGUUUAAUGUAUGUCAGCUAUGUUCCCUGGGAUUAUGCUUCAAAACUUAUACAGUCUGUACUUAAGAUACUAGACAACACAUAAAACAAAUUUCAGCGAUGUAUCAACUUUCAAAGUGCUACCAGGGCCAACCAAAGUUGAUAAAUGAAUCUUCAAAUGUUGGCCUAAUACUAUAGCACAUUAUUACUCGCAGGAUAGUUGGUUUCUUGUUUUGACUUCAGUUAUACAUUAUAUAAUACUCCUUUAUUAGCUUACCAUUACUUCUCAGU
Long non-coding RNA from Halichondria panicea, 6641 nucleotides. RefSeq lists it as uncharacterized. The record is from RefSeq and is a predicted model, not a curated record. The transcript is spliced from 3 exons. Lineage: Eukaryota; Metazoa; Porifera; Demospongiae; Suberitida; Halichondriidae.